GGAAGUUAAGAAACUGUUUCUUAACUUUAAACUAAAAAAGCUAAGAACCGGUUCUUAAAUAAGGACUUUAAGAACCGGUUCUUAGUUUUUUUAGUUAAAAGUUAAGAAACAGUUUAUUAACUUCC
MicroRNA precursor from Brassica oleracea var. oleracea, 125 nucleotides. It matches the Rfam family "MIR9563 microRNA precursor family". Lineage: Eukaryota; Viridiplantae; Streptophyta; Magnoliopsida; Brassicales; Brassicaceae. The record is from Rfam.